RNAcentral lists this ribosomal RNA (253 nucleotides) under uncultured bacterium. RNAcentral describes it as "partial 16S ribosomal RNA". It matches the Rfam family "Bacterial small subunit ribosomal RNA", at positions 524 to 776 of the family's 1533-position model. The record is from RNAcentral.
UACGUAGGUCGCAAGCGUUGUCCGGAUUUACUGGGCGUAAAGAGCGCGCAGGCGGCUGGUCAAGUCCGAUGUGAAAUCUCCCGGCUCAACUGGGAAACUGCAUCGGAAACUGAUCGGCUUGAAGAUGGGAGAGGGUAGUGGAAUUCCCGGUGUAGUGGUGAAAUGCGUAGAUAUCUGGAGGAACACCGGUGGCGAAGGCGGCAUCCUGGACCGGUAUUGACGCUGAGGCGCGAAAGCCAGGGGAGCAAACGGG